Molecule: ribosomal RNA, 500 nt
Filed under: Aspergillus flavus
Lineage: Eukaryota; Fungi; Ascomycota; Eurotiomycetes; Eurotiales; Aspergillaceae
Description: eukaryotic LSU rRNA
Rfam family: Eukaryotic large subunit ribosomal RNA
Source: RNAcentral
ACCGGGAUUGCCUCAGUAACGGCGAGUGAAGCGGCAAGAGCUCAAAUUUGAAAGCUGGCUCCUUCGGGGUCCGCAUUGUAAUUUGCAGAGGAUGCUUCGGGUGCGGCCCCUGUCUAAGUGCCCUGGAACGGGCCGUCAGAGAGGGUGAGAAUCCCGUCUGGGAUGGGGUGUCCGCGCCCGUGUGAAGCUCCUUCGACGAGUCGAGUUGUUUGGGAAUGCAGCUCUAAAUGGGUGGUAAAUUUCAUCUAAAGCUAAAUACUGGCCGGAGACCGAUAGCGCACAAGUAGAGUGAUCGAAAGAUGAAAAGCACUUUGAAAAGAGAGUUAAAAAGCACGUGAAAUUGUUGAAAGGGAAGCGCUUGCGACCAGACUCGCCUCCAGGGUUCAGCCGGCAUUCGUGCCGGUGUACUUCCCUGGGGGCGGGCCAGCGUCGGUUUGGGCGGCCGGUCAAAGGCUCCCGGAAUGUAGUGCCCUCCGGGGCACCUUAUAGCCGGGAGUGCA